CAACCUGGUUGAUCCUGCCAGUAGUCAUAUGCUUGUCUCAAAGACUAAGCCAUGCAUGUCUAAGUAUAAACACUUUUAUACACGUGAAACUGCGAAUGGCUCAUUAAAACAGUUAUAGUUCCUUUGAGAACACUACUACUUGGAUAACCGUAGUAAUUCUAGAGCUAAUACAUGCCUAAACGCCCGACUAACAGAAGGGUGGUAUUUAUUGGAUAAAAAACCAUCGUGCUCUUUCCGGAGCGCCUUGAGAUGAUUCACAAUAACUUGUCGGAUCGCAUGGCCUCGUGCUGGCGACUCCUCAUUCAAAUUUCUGCCCUAUCAACUUUCGAUGGUAGAGUAUUGGUCUACCAUGGUGUCGACGGGUGACGGGGAAUUAGGGUUCGAUUCCGGAGAGGGAGCCUGAGAAACGGCUACCACAUCCAAGGAAGGCAGCAGGCGCGCAAAUUACCCAAUCCCGAUUCGGGGAGGUAGUGACAAAAAAUAACAAUAGGGGGCCCUUUGGGUCCUCUAAUUGGAAUGAGAACAAUUUAAACCCCUUAUCGAGGAUCCAUUGGAGGGCAAGUCUGGUGAACGCGUCUAGGUACGGCAUGGGUUUUUCUCCCCUUUUGCUACACCACCACCGCCCUCGUUAAACAAAAAAUCACGCCAGAUGUCGGCACGACCACAAGUAGGGGGGGCUCUGCUGCCCCGCGUGUGCGUGCACGGCAAAAGAUAGGGUAUUGAGUUCCUAUCAUACACUUCGAAAUUGACGGGAAAGACCUUGUGUGAGUGGCAUGCGGAAGGUGCCUUGCUCAGAAAGCACACUCUUUGGCUACCGCGGUCCGCCGAGAGGUGAGAACGAGCAAUCGUUCAGGACGCAGCAGUGCAUGUAACGGUGUACGGAUGGUAAAAACGCCAAAGAAGGGAAAGGGUUAAUCCGCAGGGAAGCGUGAUUGGCAGAUCUUCUCGUAGAUGCCAAAGACGAACCUUCAGAGACUGUAAUGAAGUGGGCGCAAGCUUAAGGGACAGUCCAAUCCACUGGGAGACCAGGUCCACAGGAGUAUCGGGACAGAACUCAACCCGUAGGACUGUGGAGGGCGUAGCAAAGCGUUCGCACUUGUGCGAACGCCUCACGUCGGGUAUCAAUGGCCAGCAGCCGCGGUAAUUCCAGCUCCAAUAGCGUAUAUUAAAGUUGUUGCAGUUAAAACGCUCGUAGUCGGACUUCGGAGCACUCGCACGGGCCGGGCUUCCAGUCUAUGUGCCAGUGGGGGUUUGUCUCCUUUUGUCGGGACGCGGUGUGUGGGAACUUCACUGUUUCCGCGCGUUUACCUGCGGGCCGGCCGUUUACUGUGAAGAAAGUAAAGUGUUCAAAGCAGGCCAAUGCCUUGAAUAUGUGAGCAUGGAAUAAUAGAAUAGGACUUGGGCUCUAUUUUGUUGGUUUCCAGUGACCAAGUAAUGAUUAAUAGGGACGGUUGGGGGCAUUCGUAUUUCAUUGUCAGAGGUGAAAUUCUUGGAUUGAUGGAAGACGUACAACUGCGAAAGCAUCUGCCAUGGAUGUUUUCAUUGAUCAAGAACGAAAGUUAGGGGAUCGAAGACGAUCAGAUACCGUCGUAGUCUUAACCAUAAACGAUGCCGACUGGGGAUUGGCGGGGGCACUAGUAAAUGACCACGUCAGCACCCUGUGGGAAACCAAAGUCUUUGGGUUCUGGGGGGAGUAUGGUCGCAAGGCUGAAACUUAAAGGAAUUGACGGAAGGGCACCACCAGGAGUGGAGCCUGCGGCUUAAUUUGACUCAACACGGGAAAACUUACCAGGUCCGGACAGAAGUAUGAUUGACAGACUGAAAGCUCUUUCUUGAUUUUUUGGUUGGUGGUGCAUGGCCGUUCUUAGUUGGUGGAGUGAUUUGUCUGGUUAAUUCCGUUAACGAACGAGACCUCGUCCUGCUAAAUAGAUGCGCGCAUGCUAGCACUGUGCUCGAUCUUCUUAGAGGGACUGUGCGCGUCUAGCGUACGGAAGAUUGAGGCAAUAACAGGUCUGUGAUGCCCUUAGAUGUUCUGGGCCGCACGCGCGCUACACUGAUGCAUUCAACGAGUUUCACUUGAUCGUCCUGGAUCGGAAGCCCCGGGUAAUCUUUUGAAAUAGCAUCGUGCUGGGGAUAGAUCAUUGCAAUUAUUGAUCUUGAACGAGGAAUUCCUUGUAGGCGCAGGUCAUCACCCUGCGCCGAAUACGUCCCUGCCCUUUGUACACACCGCCCGUCGCUCCUACCGAUUGAAUGGUCCGAUGAAAUGUCCGGAUUGCGGCUGCUGUGAUGGACUUGUCCAGAGCGGUAGCCAUGAGAAGCUCAUUAAAUCUUAUCAUUUAGAGGAAGGAGAAGUCGUAACAAGGUUUCCGUAUUAUUGUGGAUUGCCUCAAGGAAGGAAGGGGAGAUGUUCUUCGGAGGGUUCAUGGAAACCUUCUUGGUUCUCUGGAGGGAACCGACAACCGGGAACACAAUCCUAACUUUUUUGAGGUCCUUCCGUGGGAAGACGUACACGAAGCCUUUGCGGCCCGAAAGGGUGCACAGACCGCGACUAUAAACUACUGAUUCUGUGGUAAACGCAAGCAGCGGUGGGUGGGUGCUCUCGCUUCUUAUGGGCGGGAAGACAAAACGCACAGCUGCUACUUUCUCAAAUUGCGGGAACACCCUAAAGUCAACAGAUACCGCGGCUCGACGCGAAACGUCGGGUGCCAGCAGUGAGGGUAGCGCCCUCAUGGAUGGUAACAACUCUGUUGAAUAGAGCGGCACUUUCUUUGGUGGCGCGAACAUGGGCAAUCCGCAGCCAAGCUCCCGGCAAGUCGUCUUGUUCGACUGGGAGAAGGUUCACAGACUGUAAGGGAAGGGGUCUUUUUUUCUUGCGAGAAACAGGCUUAAGAGACAGUCGGUCCCCUGCGAAAGCAGAGUCUCAUGAGAGGAAGGCGCUCCUAAAUAGAGUGCCGGAGAGCCAUGAGAGCCCAGUCGCCUCUGGGUGGGGAGUUUUCCUAGACGAAAAACGAAAUAACGUUCCGUAGGUGAACCUGCGGAAGGAUCAUU
Molecule: precursor RNA, 3048 nt
Filed under: Porphyra sp. Shimonoseki
Lineage: Eukaryota; Rhodophyta; Bangiophyceae; Bangiales; Bangiaceae
Description: partial precursor RNA
Rfam family: Eukaryotic small subunit ribosomal RNA (bases 2-2426)
Source: RNAcentral